GCACCAGUCAGAUAAAAGAACAUCUUAACAUAUAACAGAGUAAUAUUAUCAUAUUGGUAUCUUAAACAUAAUAUUGUUAUACCUCAUCCAUGUAAGGACAUGUGGCAAACCAAAAGAACACCUUAACAAUAAACCAAUUGGUGGCGAAUUGGGAAGUCACUCAUAAGUCCUACCUUCCAUCACGCCCAUAUGGAAAAUGCAAGCAAUUUGAUACCCAAGUCUCCAGGCUUUCAUUGGGAACGUGGUGUCGUUGGUCACCAAACAUCAUGUGGCUCAACCACUCUAUAUCAUCAAGUUAGAAUAAAUGACAGGAUUUGUC
RNAcentral lists this long non-coding RNA (319 nucleotides) under Gossypium barbadense (sea-island cotton). RNAcentral's name for it is "long non-coding RNA (GBAR_LNC007342)". Lineage: Eukaryota; Viridiplantae; Streptophyta; Magnoliopsida; Malvales; Malvaceae. The record is from RNAcentral.